AGCGAACGCUGUCGGCAGGCUUAACACAUGCAAGUCGAGCGCCCCGCAAGGGGAGCGGCAGACGGGAGAGUAACACGUGGGAACAUACCUUUUGGUUCGGAACAACUGAGGGAAACUUCAGCUAAUACCGGAUAAGCCCUUACGGGGAAAGAUUUAUCGCCGAAAGAUUGGCCCGCGUCUGAUUAGCUAGUUGGUGAGGUAACGGCUCACCAAGGCGACGAUCAGUAGCUGGUCUGAGAGGAUGAUCAGCCUCACUGGGACUGAGACACGGCCCAGACUCCUACGGGAGGCAGCAGUGGGGAAUAUGGGACAAUGGGGGCAACCCUGAUCCAGCCAGGCCGCGGGAGUGAUGAAGGCCUUAGGGUUGUAAAGCUCUUUUGCCCGGGAAGAUAAUGACGGUACCGGGAGAAUAAGCCCCGGCUAACUUCGU
This 430-nucleotide ribosomal RNA is filed under the name uncultured bacterium. RNAcentral describes it as "partial 16S ribosomal RNA". It matches the Rfam family "Bacterial small subunit ribosomal RNA", at positions 29 to 506 of the family's 1533-position model. The record is from RNAcentral.